This 292-nucleotide ribosomal RNA is filed under the name uncultured bacterium. RNAcentral describes it as "partial 16S ribosomal RNA". It matches the Rfam family "Bacterial small subunit ribosomal RNA", at positions 505 to 796 of the family's 1533-position model. The record is from RNAcentral.
GUUUAAGCCGCCGCGGUAAUACGAAGGUGGCAAGCGUUGUUCGGAUUUACUGGGCGUACAGGGAGCGUAGGCGGUUGGGUAAGCCCUUCGUGAAAUCUCCGGGCCUAACCCGGAAAGUGCGGAGGGGACUGCUCGGCUAGAGGAUGGGAGAGGAGCGCGGAAUUCCCGGUGUAGCGGUGAAAUGCGUAGAGAUCGGGAGGAAGGCCGGUGGCGAAGGCGGCGCUCUGGAACAUUUCUGACGCUGAGGCUCGAAAGCGUGGGGAGCAAACAGGAUUAGAUACCCCUGUAGUCC